GACGAACGCUGGCGGCGCGCUUAACACAUGCAAGUCGAGGGGUGUUUACACCACUGGCGCACGGGUGAGUAACGCGUAGGCAAUCUGCCCCUAUCACAGACAUAACGUCGGGAAACUGGCGCUAAUAUCUGAUGAGGACUCCGGUUCAAAGUAGUGAUAUGGAUAGGGAUGAGCCUGCGUUAGAUUAGCUAGUUGGUGAGGUAACUGCUCACCAAGGCGACGAUCUAUAGCUGGUCUGAGAGGACGAUCAGCCACACUGGAACUGAGACACGGUCCAGACUCCUACGGGAGGCAGCAGUGAGGAAUUUUGGUCAAUGGGCGGAAGCCUGAACCAGCCAUGCCGCGUGCAGGAAGGAGGCCCUACGGGUUGUAAACUGCUUUUACCCGGGAAGAAACCGCCCCUGUGGGGGCGUUGCCGGUACCGGGGAAAAGGAUCGGCUAACUCCGUGCCAGCAGCCGCGGUAAAACGUCUACUA
RNAcentral lists this ribosomal RNA (476 nucleotides) under uncultured bacterium. RNAcentral's name for it is "bacterial SSU rRNA". It matches the Rfam family "Bacterial small subunit ribosomal RNA", at positions 28 to 537 of the family's 1533-position model. The record is from RNAcentral.